Syzygium oleosum is the source of this 765-nucleotide long non-coding RNA. RefSeq lists it as uncharacterized. The transcript is spliced from 7 exons. The record is from RefSeq and is a predicted model, not a curated record. Lineage: Eukaryota; Viridiplantae; Streptophyta; Magnoliopsida; Myrtales; Myrtaceae.
AGAGAUGAAAAAUCCCUAGAUCUAAGCCAGCCGAUUGCCGACGGAAUCGAUCGCCUCCAUCGCCGUUUCACGACAGCUUCAGGGUAUCGAUUUGGUCACCGGAGGCAAGAGCAAGAAGACCAAGCGCACGGUGCCGAAGUCCGACGAUAUCUAUCUCAAGCUUCUCGUCAAGGGUUGGGAAGACUUCUCUGAUGAAUCAGGUUGGGGGACCGCUGAUUGUGCUGUAUAGGUAUGUGAAUCGCAAGUUCAGCAAUCAGUAUAAGGCGACGAUCGGAGCUGAUUUCUUGACGAAGGAAGUUCAGUUUGAGGAUAGGUUGUUCACAUUGCAGGUGAGCCCCAAAAAAAGGUUCCCGAACGAGGUGUGAAUUGAGCGUCUCCAUUUUUGAAUCGGGUGGUUUCUUUCAGUCGUUCAGAGCUUGAGGAUUGAGCAGAAGAAAGCCUAAUUUAAUUGGCUGCAUACAAAGGAUAUGCUGACACAAUCAAAUUACUUCUUUUUAGAGAUGCAUCCCAGGGAAGACAAGAUAAAGAAGGUGUAGUGAGUAUACGCAUGGCAAUCUUACUUCUGUUUUGUUGGUCCUCAUGAUGAGAUGGUUUAUCAGUAGCUCAAAUCCAUGUAUAAAACCCAUGAGCACUUCUGUUGGAUAAUCUUAGAAGAUGUUGUGAUUUUGGCAUGCUGUAUUAGGUUUUGCACUUUAUUCGAUCAAAGCAAGUUUUAAUGCUAAGAAUGGGAGCAAUCAUUGUUUCUAAUGCGGUACUUUUUUUGUA